Molecule: ribosomal RNA, 1021 nt
Filed under: Neisseria cinerea
Lineage: Bacteria; Pseudomonadati; Pseudomonadota; Betaproteobacteria; Neisseriales; Neisseriaceae
Description: bacterial SSU rRNA
Rfam family: Bacterial small subunit ribosomal RNA
Source: RNAcentral
AAUUUUGGACAAUGGGCGCAAGCCUGAUCCAGCCAUGCCGCGUGUCUGAAGAAGGCCUUCGGGUUGUAAAGGACUUUUGUCAGGGAAGAAAAGGCUGUUGCUAAUAUCAGCGGCUGAUGACGGUACCUGAAGAAUAAGCACCGGCUAACUACGUGCCAGCAGCCGCGGUAAUACGUAGGGUGCGAGCGUUAAUCGGAAUUACUGGGCGUAAAGCGAGCGCAGACGGUUACUUAAGCAGGAUGUGAAAUCCCCGGGCUCAACCUGGGAACUGCGUUCUGAACUGGGUGACUAGAGUGUGUCAGAGGGAGGUAGAAUUCCACGUGUAGCAGUGAAAUGCGUAGAGAUGUGGAGGAAUACCGAUGGCGAAGGCAGCCUCCUGGGAUAACACUGACGUUCAUGCUCGAAAGCGUGGGUAGCAAACAGGAUUAGAUACCCUGGUAGUCCACGCCCUAAACGAUGUCAAUUAGCUGUUGGGCAACUUGAUUGUUCAGUAGCGUAGCUAACGCGUGAAAUUGACCGCCUGGGGAGUACGGUCGCAAGAUUAAAACUCAAAGGAAUUGACGGGGACCCGCACAAGCGGUGGAUGAUGUGGAUUAAUUCGAUGCAACGCGAAGAACCUUACCUGGUCUUGACAUGUACGGAAUCCUCCAGAGACGGAGGAGUGCCUUCGGGAGCCGUAACACAGGUGCUGCAUGGCUGUCGUCAGCUCGUGUCGUGAGAUGUUGGGUUAAGUCCCGCAACGAGCGCAACCCUUGUGCUUAGUUGCCAUCAUUCAGUUGGGCACUCUAAUGAGACUGCCGGUGACAAGCCGGAGGAAGGUGGGGAUGACGUCAAGUCCUCAUGGCCCUUAUGACCAGGGCUUCACACGUCAUACAAUGGUCGGUACAGAGGGUAGCCAAGCCGCGAGGUGGAGCCAAUCUCACAAAACCGAUCGUAGUCCGGAUUGCACUCUGCAACUCGAGUGCAUGAAGUCGGAAUCGCUAGUAAUCGCAGGUCAGCAUACUGCGGUGAAUACGUUCCC